Molecule: ribosomal RNA, 1251 nt
Filed under: metagenome
Description: bacterial LSU rRNA
Rfam family: Bacterial large subunit ribosomal RNA
Source: RNAcentral
AACCAUCGUUAAGGAACUCGGCAAAAUCGCUCCGUAACUUCGGGAUAAGGAGCGCCCCAGUAGAGUGAAGCCGCUUGCCGGCGGAGCUCGAGAGGGCCGCAGUGAAUAGGUUCAACCGACUGUUUACCAAAAACACAGGUCUCUGCUAAGUCGCAAGACGACGUAUAGGGGCUGACGCCUGCCCGGUGCCGGAAGGUUACGUGGAGGUGUUAGGGCUCGACCCAAAGCACUGAAACUAAGCCCCGGUAAACGGCGGCGGUAACAAUAACCGUCCUAAGGUAGCGAAAUUCCUUGUCGGGUAAGUUCCGACCUGCACGAAUGGCAUAACGAGUUGAACGCUGUCUCAACGAUGGGCUCGGUGAAAUUGCAGUCUCGGUGAAGAUGCCGAGUACCCGCGGCAAGACGGAAAGACCCCGUGAACCUUUACUACAACCUGGUAUUGGAGUUCGGUGCGUUUCGCUCAGAAUAGGUGGGAGGCUUGGAAGCCAUGGCUGCGGCUGUGGUGGAGCCAACUUUGAGAUACCACCCUUGACGUAUUGGGCUUCUAACAGCAUGCCGUGAAUCCGGGUGCUGAACAGUGCCAGGCGGGUAGUUUGACUGGGGCGGUCGCCUCCCAAAAUGUAACGGAGGCGCACAAAGGUUCCCUCAGUACGGUUGGAAACCGUGCGUAGAGUGUAAAGGCAGUAAGGGAGCUUGACUGCGAGACAGACAUGUCGAGCAGGUGCGAAAGCAGGUCUUAGUGAUCCGGCGGUAGCAAGUGGAAGUGCCGUCGCUCAACGGAUAAAAGGUACUCCGGGGAUAACAGGCUUAUCGAGUCCAAGAGUCCACAUCGACGACUCGGUUUGGCACCUCGAUGUCGGCUCGUCGCAUCCUGGGGCUGAAGUAGGUCCCAAGGGUUGGGCUGUUCGCCCAUUAAAGCGGUACGCGAGCUGGGUUCAGAACGUCGUGAGACAGUUCGGUCCCUAUCUGCCGUGGGCGUUGGAGAGUUGAGAGGAUUCGUCCCUAGUACGAGAGGACCGGGAUGAACGCACCUCUGGUGUAUCUGUUGUCCUGCCAAGGGCACUGCAGGUUAGCUACGUGCGGAUCGGAUAACCGCUGAAGGCAUCUAAGCGGGAAGCCGGCCUCGAGAUGAGCUCUCCCAUCGUCUAGAACGAGUAAGACCCCUGGUAGACCACCAGGUUGAUAGGCCGGAUCUGGAAGAGUGGUGACACUCGCAGGAGACCGGUACUAAUGGGUCGAGGGCUUGACGGG